Molecule: ribosomal RNA, 468 nt
Filed under: uncultured bacterium
Lineage: Bacteria
Description: partial 16S ribosomal RNA
Rfam family: Bacterial small subunit ribosomal RNA
Source: RNAcentral
GACGAACGCUGGCGGCGUGCUUAACACAUGCAAGUCGAACGGAAAGGCCCUGCUUUUGUGGGGUGCUCGAGUGGCGAACGGGUGAGUAACACGUGAGUAACCUGCCCUUGACUUUGGGAUAACUUCAGGAAACUGGGGCUAAUGCCGGAUAGGAGCUCCUGCUGCAUGGUGGGGGUUGGAAAGUUUCGGCGGUUGGGGAUGGACUCGCGGCUUAUCAGCUUGUUGGUGGGGUAGUGGCUUACCAAGGCUUUGACGGGUAGCCGGCCUGAGAGGGUGACCGGCCACAUUGGGACUGAGAUACGGCCCAGACUCCUACGGGAGGCAGCAGUGGGGAAUAUUGCACAAUGGGCGGAAGCCUGAUGCAGCAACGCCGCGUGCGGGAUGACGGCCUUCGGGUUGUAACCCGCUUUCGCCUGUGACGAAGCGUGAGUGACGGUAAUGGGUAAAGAAGCACCGGCUAACUACGUG